AACAAAUAAUAAAUUUAAAUUACAUUAGAGUAUGUAAUAUGUCAUAUUAAAUUAAAAAAAAACCCACAUGUUUAUUCAAUUAGAGAUAAAAUUAAUAUUUACAGAUGGUCCUGAUCUAUGUCUAAGCAUAGACUCAUCAACAAAGUGAAAAAUGUUUUUAAAAGGUACAUAAGUGAAUACUUAACAAAAGGCUCCCAAGAGCCCGAAUUGCUAACCUGGUAAGAAUGUGCCAUCUGAUAUUUGUUUUAUUUAAUGCAAUCAAGUAUGUUUGCUUUUUUGUAAAUAUCAUUUCGUGGAAUUGUUUUAGAUCUAGUAUUGCUGAUCAUUAAUAACUAUCUAUAAGAGUUUUUCAAAUAAUUAGCAAAACUUUAG
Molecule: long non-coding RNA, 372 nt
Filed under: Mytilus galloprovincialis (Mediterranean mussel)
Lineage: Eukaryota; Metazoa; Mollusca; Bivalvia; Mytilida; Mytilidae
Source: RNAcentral